Molecule: ribosomal RNA, 497 nt
Filed under: uncultured bacterium
Lineage: Bacteria
Description: partial 16S ribosomal RNA
Rfam family: Bacterial small subunit ribosomal RNA
Source: RNAcentral
GACGAACGCUGGCGGCGUGCCUAAUACAUGCAAGUCGAGCGAAAAGACGCGGAGCUUGUUGCUCUCACGUUUGCCGAGGACGGGUGAGUAACACGUGGAUAACCUACCUAUCAGACUGGGAUAACUUCGGGACACCGGCGAUAAUCCCGGAUGAUAUCUUGAACCACAUGGUUCAUUAGUAAAUGACGGUUUUGCUGUCACUACUCGAUGGAUACGCGCCGCUUUAGCUAGUUGGUAAGGUCACGGCUUAUGAAGGCAACGAGGCGUAGCCGACCUGAGAGGGUGGUCGGCCACACUGGAACUGGGACACGGUCCAGACUCCUACGGGAGGCAGCAGUAGGGAAUCUGCCGCAAUGGGCGAAAGCUUGACGGAGCAACGCCACGUGAGUUAUGAAGGUCUUCGGAGCGUAAUACUCUGUUAUUAGGUAAGAACAAAUGUGUAAGGAACUAUGCACGGAUUGACGGUACCGAAUCAGAAAGCCACGGCUAACUACGUG